UACGUAGGUGGCAAGCGUUGUCCGGAUUUACUGGGCGUAAAGGAUGCGUAGGCGGACAUUUAAGUCAGAUGUGAAAUACCCGAGCUUAACUUGGGUGCUGCAUUUGAAACUGGGUGUCUAGAGUGCAGGAGAGGUAAGUGGAAUUCCUAGUGUAGCGGAUGAAUGCGUAGAGAUUAGAAGAACACCAGUGGCGAAGGCGACUUCUGGACUGUAACUGACGCUGAGGCAUGAAAGCGUGGGGAGCAAACAGG
This 251-nucleotide ribosomal RNA is filed under the name uncultured bacterium. RNAcentral describes it as "partial 16S ribosomal RNA". It matches the Rfam family "Bacterial small subunit ribosomal RNA", at positions 524 to 776 of the family's 1533-position model. The record is from RNAcentral.